This is a long non-coding RNA of Heterocephalus glaber (naked mole-rat), 1022 nucleotides long. The record is from Ensembl. NCBI's taxonomy places the organism in Eukaryota, Metazoa, Chordata, Mammalia, Rodentia, Bathyergidae.
GUUGCAUGGAGGGAAGACACAGAGGGGUGAUGCUGCAAUGCAGAGUCAAGUCAGAGCAGCAGAGCUGUAGAGAAAAGAAUAGGCGUGCUACUUGUGAGCAUCACAUCGUCUCUUCAGAGACAUUAGGGAAAGGAAAGACCACGGUGAGUCCUGGACUGUGCUUGAGCUGGGCUGUUCCUGAGAUGGAGAGGCUUGCACUGAAGAGGCCUGAAUGGAGCAGAGACACCUACCUUGCCUGAGCCUUGGGUGUGUUCAGCUUCCAGAAGGGACAAAGCUCGGCCUGGCGCGUUCCUAACGGGAAUUGGCUCUAGAAGUUCCGGACUUUGUGCUUCUCACUGCUGUGCAGUAUUCCACUGUCACCCCCAAAGCCUCAUGCACUCUGAGGUGAGGCUUGUGGAAGGUGGUUGGAUUGAGAGGACACUACAGCUGACUUAGUGUUAGGAGAUGGGCCCUGAUCAGAAGAGGAGUCAUUGUGAGUAUGACCUGGAAGUGUGUACCCCCCACCCCCCGCUCCUCCCUUCUCUCUGCUUCCUGGCCACUAUGAGGUGAACAGCUUGUCCUCUACCAUGUCUCUCCGUCACGCUGUCCUGCCUUGGAGCCAGCUUACUAUGCACUGAAAUGUGAGCCAAAAUAAAGUUCUCUCCUUUUAAGUUGUAAGCAUCAGGUACUGUGUCGCAGCAAUGAGAAAGUGACUAUGACAAACAUAUGGACCAUUCUUAAAUUUGCUUGUUAUGAACCAAAUGCCUAUCUUGUGGUGAACAAAAGCACCCAUUUCUUUUGGACAUGUAUACCCAGCAGUAGACACCAUUAAACAAGGUAUAUGUAUGCCUAGUCUUAGUGGUGCUUCCAAAGCAGUUAUCUAUUGUACACUCCUACUAGCAUUUCUUAAUUGGAGUGUCUGUCUCUUGCUUAUUGAUUUGUAUAAUUUCUUACAUAUUUUAAAAAUUAUGGUCCUUUUUCUAAUAGAUGAGUUAUAAUUCUCUUGUCUCAGUCCAUAGUUUGUUUCUCUCAUAGUGUCUUUU